GGCAUCCCACCAAAAUCCUAUAAUAUCGUCUGUCUUGUAAUUGUUUCGUUGGAGAAUCAUACUCCAUCCAUGAAAUUGAAAAUCUCCAUUUGCAUCUUCUUGUACAGUAAGAGUUGUUACAAUUUUAGUUUCAAAAUAAAAAAAGUCCAAAUAACCUAUGAAACGAUUCUUAGGCAGUAAAGGUAACAUUUUGGUUUCUACUAUCUCUUUUGAAAACGUUAUCAUAUUACUCAAACCCACAUCUGAUGGU
Arabidopsis thaliana (thale cress) is the source of this 250-nucleotide long non-coding RNA. RefSeq annotates it as other RNA. Lineage: Eukaryota; Viridiplantae; Streptophyta; Magnoliopsida; Brassicales; Brassicaceae. The record is from RefSeq. The transcript has a single exon.